GAUCCGUUGUCGAAUAUUAAAUUCUUAAAAGAGAUGGUGUAGCUUUCCAAAGAUGAAAAUCAAGCAACUAGCUUGGGCUUCUCUCCUUAUUGGCUAUUCUCAUAGAUAUCAUUCCUGGUUAUCAGAUCAGACUUCCCCACCGACAAGGAGCUGUCGAGCAGGAGAUGAAUGUUUAGAAGGAAGUAAUAAAAAUGUGAUUCUUUGAAUUCACAUUGUUGACCUCUUAUAAGGUUUACCUUCAAGAGUCUAAUAGCCUUACUGAAGCAA
Papaver somniferum (opium poppy) is the source of this 267-nucleotide long non-coding RNA. RefSeq lists it as uncharacterized. The transcript is spliced from 3 exons. NCBI's taxonomy places the organism in Eukaryota, Viridiplantae, Streptophyta, Magnoliopsida, Ranunculales, Papaveraceae. The record is from RefSeq and is a predicted model, not a curated record.